Molecule: long non-coding RNA, 1032 nt
Organism: Ictalurus punctatus (channel catfish)
Lineage: Eukaryota; Metazoa; Chordata; Actinopteri; Siluriformes; Ictaluridae
Source: Ensembl
GUUAACAUAGCGCGGCGCGAAGUAACGCUUAGCUUUCCCUAGACGCUAGCUAGUUACCAAGCUCCCUACUACGCUUCGGACUUACAUGGUUAAGGGCUCUAGCCUCGUUUUCUAUUUACGAUUCUCGGAUCUCGUCUUGGAUUAUUCCUUUCGCUUCGGACUGAGUGCUUGGCGCUUCACGCCUCCCUCGCCUUCUUGUCACUGCUCGGCCCGCGCUUGCCUCCCAUCUGGAAUCCAGUGGAAUAGGAUGAACAGGGGUAUGACAUGGGUUCUCUUGGGCUGGUUGAAUACAAGGCGUGCUGCUGCAUUCUGAAUCAUCUGAAGGGGUUUGAUGGAGCUGGCUGGGCGGCCCGAGAGUAGUACGUUGCAGUAGUCCAGUUCCGAUAUGACAAGAGUCUGGACUAGUAGCUGUGUAACCUGUUCGCCACAUCAGUCAAUUUCUGGCAACCGGCAGAAUCAAGGUAUACUAAAACAAUUAUUAUUUCUUUUUUUUGAUAACUACACACAUGGAUACAGAUAUUGAUCUGAAUAAUGUUUUUGUGACUUGUUUAAGGAAGUGUGAAUGAUCCACAAUCUCUUCGAGUUGGUAACUAUUUAAUUUAAUAAUAAUUAUCUUACUGUCAGUUUUAUUAAUUGUCUCCCAAACAGACUUAUGUUGACUUAUGGCAGUGUUCUUUUUUUUUUUCAUUGCUGUAGUUAGUAUUGUCAUUGAUGUUUCAAAACAAAUUCUGGACAGAAAUCUACAAGUUAUGAAAUUUGAUAGUUUGGAGAGGAGAAUCAUGCUGAAACUAGACCAAAUCCAGGACAACAUCACAGCAGCGGUCGGAACAAUGCACUAGUCAAUGAGCCAGCCAAGCACAUCUGUCUCUGAUCUUAUAGAGGUGCUAGAGGUGCCUUGUAAGACUGUGGAGGAAUUAACAGAGCUGUGAGAUAAGCUGAAAGAUGCUGACUUUCGAAAGAAGAAUGGUAUGUGCCACGACACAAGCAACAUUACUAGUCAUUGUUAACCUGAAAUCAUUUAAAACAACUUAC